RNAcentral lists this ribosomal RNA (505 nucleotides) under uncultured bacterium. RNAcentral describes it as "partial 16S ribosomal RNA". It matches the Rfam family "Bacterial small subunit ribosomal RNA", at positions 28 to 507 of the family's 1533-position model. The record is from RNAcentral.
GACGAACGCUGGCGGCGUGCCUAAUACAUGCAAGUAGAACGCACAGUUUAUACCGUAGCUUGCUACACCAUAGACUGUGAGUUGCGAACGGGUGAGUAACGCGUAGGUAACCUGCCUGGUAGCGGGGGAUAACUAUUGGAAACGAUAGCUAAUACCGCAUCAUAUUAAUUAUUGCAUGAUAAUUAAUUGAAAGGUGCAAUUGCACCACUACCAGAUGGACCUGCGUUGUAUUAGCUAGUAGGUGAGGUAACGGCUCACCUAGGCGACGAUACAUAGCCGACCUGGGAGGGUGAUCGGCCAAACUGGGACUGAGACACGGCCCAGACUCCUACGGGAGGCAGCAGUAGGGAAUCUUCGGCAAUGGACGAAAGUCUGACCGAGCAACGCCGCGUGAGUGAAGAAGGUUUUCGGAUCGUAAAGCUCUGUUGUAAGAGAAGAACGAGUGUGAGAGUGGAAAGUUCACACUGUGACGGUAUCUUACCAGAAAGGGACGGCUAACUACGUG